CGAAUGGAUAAGAGAGAGCAACGAUCGACGAGUGGAGGAAAAAAAACCCCAUCGGCUUCAAUAUCCAAGAUACACACGAGACAGGCGGAGAGUUCCAUGGCCGGCCGGCGCCACCUCCACGCGCGCCGCCGCACAGGCGUUCACCGGCGGCGAGAGGAACUCCCGCCGCGCUCGUCCUCGUCCGAGGAACCGCCAGGGAGCAGCGUCCCGGGCGCGACGCCGUUCGCGGGUCCCAGCAUGGCGCCCGCGGCUGCUCGAUGGCGAGGCCGCCGGCGAGUUGGGCUACGGGAGGCCAAGGGCCACGAGGUGGCGACUGGCGACGUGCGCCUGUCCUCGGCGAAGGCGGCGGUCUCGCGGGGGUCGGCGAGGGAAGAGGCGCGACAGACGUAUUCGCAUCCACGGCCGCGCAGCCGAGGGAGGCCGACGUGCUGCCCCUCAGGAGGGCAGCCGCCAAGAGGCGACGGGGUCAACGGGCAGAGGCGCGGUUGAGGCGGCCGUGAACACCACCUUCUCCACGGCGGCGAUGGGUGAUGAAGCAACGGCGGCGAACGUCGUCGCGACAGAGGCAUUGCUCUAUUCUCACCUUUAGCCUGUUUUGAUCCGGUGUUCUCCAUCCCUGCUCCAUGGCGGACGACGCCGGAGGGGGUGGAGGCGGAGCCCAGGCGGUUGGCGCAGGCGCGACGGCGGCCACGGGCACGGCCGGGCGGCGGCCAGUCGAGGCCGGGCGAAGCGCGAGGAGCGCGGCCACGGCGUGUACGCAGGCGGCGAGGCCACGACGCAGGAGGUCGUGACCACGACUUUGGCUACAGCCGAGCGCACGGGCAUGGAGUCGUCAGCCGUUAGCGGAGGCGGAAGAGGGCCGAGGCAGCGAGGACCAUCUCGGCGCAGUUGGUGCUGUGGCCGCGUCCAACGGCGCGGUGGCCGGGUCUUGUGGUGUGGUGGCCAUGGCCUGGUGCGGGCUCGGGCGGAGCGCGGGCAGUGGCCACGACGCACAGCCGGGCGUGGGACGUCUUGCGGCGCGGGGCCCGAGGCGUCGUGUCGCCUGCUUCGCCAUGGCUGGUGCGUGAAGUCCAGGCCGAGGGCUCUGCGACUUCAACGCCUUGUGUUCCAUGCCGGCAGCGCCGUGCACACUGCCGUCGUUCCCGUUUUGUGGCCUAAUUGCUUCUCGGCAGAGAAAAGUGCUGAUAACGUAUUGAGAGUCAAUCGUAAACUAACAAGGGAUCUGAACAAAUGAUCA
Molecule: ribosomal RNA, 1237 nt
Filed under: Triticum aestivum (bread wheat)
Lineage: Eukaryota; Viridiplantae; Streptophyta; Magnoliopsida; Poales; Poaceae
Description: partial small subunit ribosomal RNA
Source: RNAcentral